This 607-nucleotide ribosomal RNA is filed under the name uncultured soil bacterium. Its description in RNAcentral is "bacterial SSU rRNA". It matches the Rfam family "Bacterial small subunit ribosomal RNA", at positions 224 to 823 of the family's 1533-position model. The record is from RNAcentral.
GAUGAGCCCGCGUCGGAUUAGCUAGUUGGUGAGGUAAAGGCUCACCAAGGCGACGAUCCGUAGCUGGUCUGAGAGGAUGAUCAGCCACACUGGGACUGAGACACGGCCCAGACUCCUACGGGAGGCAGCAGUGGGGAAUUUUGGACAAUGGGCGCAAGCCUGAUCCAGCCAUUCCGCGUGCAGGAUGAAGGCCCUCGGGUUGUAAACUGCUUUUGUACGGAACGAAAAGGUUCUGGUUAAUACCCGGAGCUGAUGACGGUACCGUAAGAAUAAGCACCGGCUAACUACGUGCCAGCAGCCGCGGUAAUACGUAGGUGGCAAGCGUUGUCCGGAAUUAUUGGGCGUAAAGCGCGUGUAGGCGGCCAGAUAAGUCCGCUGUGAAAACUCGAGGCUCAACUUCGAGCUGUCGGUGGAAACUAUCUGGCUAGAGUCCGGAAGAGGAGAGUGGAAUUCCUGGUGUAGCGGUGAAAUGCGCAGAUAUCAGGAAGAACACCCGUGGCGAAGGCGGCUCUCUGGGACGGUACUGACGCUGAGACGCGAAAGCGUGGGGAGCGAACAGGAUUAGAUACCCUGGUAGUCCACGCCGUAAACGAUGGGUGCUAGGUGU